AGGAACCUACGGGGGGCAGCAGUGGGGAAUAUUGCACAAUGGGGGGAACCCUGAUGCAGCGACGCCGCGUGAGUGAAGAAGUAGUUCGGUAUGUAAAGCUCUAUCAGCAGGGAAGAAGAUGACGGUACCUGACUAAGAAGCCCCGGCUAACUACGUGCCAGCAGCCGCGGUAAUACGUAGGGGGCAAGCGUUAUCCGGAUUUACUGGGUGUAAAGGGAGCGUAGACGGCAGGGCAAGUCUGGAGUGAAAGCCCGGGGCUCAACCCCGGGACUGCAUUGGAAACUACCGAACU
Molecule: ribosomal RNA, 292 nt
Filed under: uncultured bacterium
Lineage: Bacteria
Description: partial 16S ribosomal RNA
Rfam family: Bacterial small subunit ribosomal RNA
Source: RNAcentral